AAUAGAUACCCUGGUAGUCCACGCCGUAAACGAUGAGUGCUAAGUGUUAGAGGGUUUCCGCCCUUUAGUGCUGCAGCUAACGCAUUAAGCACUCCGCCUGGGGAGUACGGCCGCAAGGCUGAAACUCGAAGGAAUUGACGGGGGCCCGCACAAGCGGUGGAGCAUGUGGUUUAAUUCGAAGCAACGCGAAGAACCUUACCAGGUCUUGACAUCCUCUGCCAACCCUAGAGAUAGGGCGUUCCCCUUCGGGGGACAGAGUGACAGGUGGUGCAUGGUUGUCGUCAGCUCGUGUCGUGAGAUGUUGGGUUAAGUCCCGCAACGAGCGCAACCCUUGAUCUUAGUUGCCAGCAUUCAGUUGGGCACUCUAAGGUGACUGCCGGUGACAAACCGGAGGAAGGUGGGGAUGACGUCAAAUCAUCAUGCCCCUUAUGACCUGGGCUACACACGUGCUACAAUGGAUGGUACAAAGAGCUGCGAACCCGCGAGGGUAAGCCAAUCUCAUAAAGCCAUUCUCAGUUCGGAUUGUAGG
This 529-nucleotide ribosomal RNA is filed under the name uncultured bacterium. RNAcentral describes it as "bacterial SSU rRNA". It matches the Rfam family "Bacterial small subunit ribosomal RNA", at positions 777 to 1304 of the family's 1533-position model. The record is from RNAcentral.